RNAcentral lists this ribosomal RNA (562 nucleotides) under Bipolaris tetramera. RNAcentral describes it as "eukaryotic LSU rRNA". The stretch from base 189 to 342 matches the Rfam family "5.8S ribosomal RNA". Lineage: Eukaryota; Fungi; Ascomycota; Dothideomycetes; Pleosporales; Pleosporaceae. The record is from RNAcentral.
UAGGGUAACCUGCGGAGGGAUCAUUACACAAUAAAAUACGAAGGCCGUUCGCGGCUGGACUAUUUAUUACCCUUGUCUUUUGCGCACUUGUUGUUUCCUGGGCGGGUUCGCUCGCCACCAGGACCACAAUAUAAACCUUUUUUAUGCAGUUGCAAUCAGCGUCAGUAUAACAAAUGUAAAUCAUUUACAACUUUCAACAACGGAUCUCUUGGUUCUGGCAUCGAUGAAGAACGCAGCGAAAUGCGAUACGUAGUGUGAAUUGCAGAAUUCAGUGAAUCAUCGAAUCUUUGAACGCACAUUGCGCCCUUUGGUAUUCCAAAGGGCAUGCCUGUUCGAGCGUCAUUUGUACCCUCAAGCUUUGCUUGGUGUUGGGCGUUUUUGUCUUUGGCCCGCCAAAGACUCGCCUUAAAAUGAUUGGCAGCCGGCCUACUGGUUUCGCAGCGCAGCACAUUUUUGCGCUUGCAAUCAGCAAAAGAGGACGGCAAUCCAUCAAGACUCCUUCUCACGUUGACCUCGGAUCAGUAGAUCCCGCUGAACUUAAGCAUAUCAAUAAGCGGAGGAA